AUCCUAGACUGGGAUCUUCCAGGACCAGAU
Molecule: non-coding RNA, 30 nt
Filed under: Rattus norvegicus (Norway rat)
Lineage: Eukaryota; Metazoa; Chordata; Mammalia; Rodentia; Muridae
Source: RNAcentral